Molecule: ribosomal RNA, 789 nt
Filed under: uncultured bacterium
Lineage: Bacteria
Description: bacterial SSU rRNA
Rfam family: Bacterial small subunit ribosomal RNA
Source: RNAcentral
CCCUUAGAGUUUGAUCCUGGCUCAGAACGAACGUUAGCGGCGCGCCUAACACAUGCAAGUCGAGCGAGAAAGGGCUUCGGCCCCGGUAAAGCGGCGCACGGGUGAGUAACACGUGGGUAAUCUGCCCUCGGGUCGGGGAUAACAUUCCGAAAGGAGUGCUAAUACCGGAUAAGACCACGACCUCGAAAGAGGAAGCGGUCAAAGCAGGCCUCUAUAUAUAAGCUUGCGCCUGAGGAUGAGCCCGCGGCGCAUCAUGGUAGUUGGUGAGGUAAUGGCUCACCAAGCCGAAGACGCGUAGCUGGUCUGAGAGGAUGAUCAGCCACACUGGAACUGAGACACGGUCCAGACUCCUACGGGAGGCAGCAGUGGGGAAUCUUGCGCAAUGGGCGAAAGCCUGACGCAGCGACGCCGCGUGAGUGAUGAAGGCCUUCGGGUUGUAAAGCUCUGUGGGGAGAGACGAAUAAGUGCUGGCUAAUACCCUGCAUGAUGACGGUAUCUCCUUAGCAAGCACCGGCUAACUCUGUGCCAGCAGCCGCGGUAAGACAGAGGGUGCAAACGUUGUUCGGAAUUACUGGGCGUAAAGCGAGUGUAGGCGGUUUCCUAAGUCAGGUGUGAAAGCCCCGGGCUCAACCCGGGAAGUGCACUUGAAACUGGGAGGCUAGAGUAUCGGAGAGGUUGGUGGAAUUCUCGGUGUAGAGGUGAAAUUCGUAGAUAUCGAGAGGAACACCGGUGGCGAAAGCGGCCAACUGGACGAAUACUGACGCUGAGACUCGAAAGCGUGGGGAGCAA